This 253-nucleotide ribosomal RNA is filed under the name uncultured bacterium. RNAcentral's name for it is "partial 16S ribosomal RNA". It matches the Rfam family "Bacterial small subunit ribosomal RNA", at positions 524 to 776 of the family's 1533-position model. The record is from RNAcentral.
UACAGAGGGUGCGAGCGUUAAUCGGAAUUACUGGGCGUAAAGGGCGCGUAGGCGGUGAUAUGAGUGUGAUGUGAAAGCCCUGGGCUUAACCUAGGAAGUGCAUCGCAAACGAUAUCGCUGGAGUACAGGAGAGGGUGGCGGAAUUUCCGGUGUAGCAGUGAAAUGCGUAGAGAUCGGAAGGAACGUCAAUGGCGAAGGCAGCCACCUGGCCUGAUACUGACGCUGAGGCGCGAAAGCGUGGGGAGCAAACAGG